Molecule: transfer RNA, 72 nt
Filed under: Rhipicephalus microplus (southern cattle tick)
Lineage: Eukaryota; Metazoa; Arthropoda; Arachnida; Ixodida; Ixodidae
Description: tRNA-Glu
Rfam family: tRNA
About the family: Transfer RNA (tRNA) molecules are approximately 80 nucleotides in length. Their secondary structure includes four short double-helical elements and three loops (D, anti-codon, and T loops). Further hydrogen bonds mediate the characteristic L-shaped molecular structure. tRNAs have two regions of fundamental functional importance: the anti-codon, which is responsible for specific mRNA codon recognition, and the 3' end, to which the tRNAs corresponding amino acid is attached (by aminoacyl-tRNA synthetases). tRNAs cope with the degeneracy of the genetic code in two manners: having more than one tRNA (with a specific anti-codon) for a particular amino acid; and 'wobble' base-pairing, i.e. permitting non-standard base-pairing at the 3rd anti-codon position.
Source: Rfam by way of RNAcentral
UGCGGCGUGGUCUAGUGGCUAGGAUAUUUGGCUUUCACCCAGAAGGCCCGGGUUCGAUUCCCGGCGUCGGAA